CUUCCAACCUGAAGUGGAACAAAGAAGUCUUGUGAGGUCACUCUUGUGAGGUCACUCUCCUGACAGUGGCCUGAAUGACACACAGAGGAGAGGGAAGGACUUACUGAGCUCUCCCUGCAGUUUUUCUGCAGGACAAGAGGUACCAAGAACUCACUGUGUGAUGCAGGCAUUGUAGGUCCAUGGUGUCUUCCAGGAUCUCAGUAUUUAACUGACAGAAAAGAAGAGCAUCGUCAUGGGAUAUUUUCCUAGACUAAGCCUAAAACAACCCCCCGCCCCCUGCCCAAUACCAAUGUAGAAGUCAGGACAUAA
Molecule: non-coding RNA, 309 nt
Organism: Ictidomys tridecemlineatus (thirteen-lined ground squirrel)
Lineage: Eukaryota; Metazoa; Chordata; Mammalia; Rodentia; Sciuridae
Source: RefSeq, a predicted model, not a curated record